This 279-nucleotide unclassified non-coding RNA is filed under the name plant metagenome. RNAcentral describes it as "partial contains small subunit ribosomal RNA, internal transcribed spacer 1, and 5.8S ribosomal RNA". The record is from RNAcentral.
UUUCCGUAGGUGAACCUGCGGAAGGAUCAUUCAUAAUAAGUGUUUUAUGCCCCUUUUAUAUAUCUAUCUACCCUUUGUGCACAAUGUCAGGGUUGCUUUAUCUCACCAGAGGAUCAACCCCAAAUAUCUACUAUAUCUCUCUUCUUUCUCUGAUAAAUAUUAUGAUCAAAAACAACUAUCAUCAAACGAUCUAUAACGGAUCUCUUGGAUCUCGCACCCAUGAAGAACGCAGCAGAUCGGACGAGCCCCCGUCUGCACUCUCGUCACUUCGUACCAGUC